Long non-coding RNA from Cygnus olor (mute swan), 1278 nucleotides. RefSeq lists it as uncharacterized. The record is from RefSeq and is a predicted model, not a curated record. The transcript is spliced from 3 exons. NCBI's taxonomy places the organism in Eukaryota, Metazoa, Chordata, Aves, Anseriformes, Anatidae.
ACACCGCAGGGCUGGGGAGGAAAGGGGCUCGCUCCGGGCGGAGAAAUCAGCCGCCAGCCCCGGGUCCCUCCGUCCUCAGGAUGCUCCCGGCAAGCCAAUCUAAGGCAACGCUUGCCAAGAAACCGUGGGCUUCACGCUCCGAGGUGUCCUUCCCAAAGAUGAUGGCAUGGGGAAAGACCGUACAAAGGUGUCUGGUGCCGUUUCUGCAGAACAGAUUUGUCCCAUCCUUCCGGCUGGGAGUCAGCGUCUCCAGUCCCUUCUCAAACCCCGACUUGUCAAAUGAGUCCUGUCUCCCUGCAAUAUUUAUACGCACUACAUCACCUAUAUUUCACAGCUACGUUGAGGUAGACAGUCUCCGGGACGGAUGUGGUGUUCAAAGAGAGCAAAUCAUAGCCGGCACAAUGUCACCAGGCAAGAGAUGACUGAAGAAGUGUGUGAGGCCAAGGUCCAGUUACAAGGACAUUAAUUCUCUUUGUGUCAAUGUUUUCAUGCUAUAAUCUGGUGCAGGCUGUCAUUUAUUUCUUCUCGGAGAUGAUGCAACUAUCUGUGGUUCCCGGUGAUCUCUUGAGCAUGUGGCCUGACAUUUCGGUCACCUCUUUCUCGCUCAUUUUCUUCGCAGCACAACAGUCACGAAUGCCUCCAAGUUUGAUCUCUUCCUUCCUCCCUCCCCACGCACACACAUGGAAGUGAGGGCAGCCCAGCUGGAAGCUUUCCUGCGGCAUUUCCCUUGCUAUUGCCUCCUAAAAGGGAGUAGAAAGAGGAAGUAGGAAGGGGAAAGGAAAAAAAAAAAUGGGGCACCUUAAAGACAAUGGGUGACUUUGAGUGCUGCAAGAGAGUUGGGAAGGGGAAAGCCAGAGGACUCUGUAGCACUGCAGCAAGGAUGGGAAACCCAGGGAAUUAUAACUGCAGCACAGGGCUGCAUCAAGGAGCUGGGAGCACAGGGGUGCUCCUGCGGUGCUGCUGUGCCCUGCUGAGCUGGGGAGGCACUGACGCAGCGCAGCACAGGCCCGGGGCAAGGGUCUGACCCAAGGUGAUGAGAUAAGGCACACAGGAGCCAAGCAGAGGGAAUUGGGAUGGGCAAGGGAGAGCCAGCGUCUGUGGUGUCUGUGUGGGGAGAGGGAGCCCUGUAGGGCUGCUAUAAACACGUUAGGGAAACAGCACCAAGCGCUCUGCAAAGUGAGAACUGCUGGAAGAUGGGGAAGCAGGGGCUAAGCUACAAUGACAGGAUGAAAUCUGUCCACUGUCUGUUUUCUCUCUGUUUAAUUGAUCUUCAUAGGA